RNAcentral lists this unclassified non-coding RNA (267 nucleotides) under uncultured fungus. Its description in RNAcentral is "sequence contains ITS1, 5.8S rRNA gene". The stretch from base 219 to 267 matches the Rfam family "5.8S ribosomal RNA", at positions 1 to 49 of the family's 154-position model. Lineage: Eukaryota; Fungi. The record is from RNAcentral.
UCUCCGUUGGUGAACCAGCGGAGGGAUCAUUAGAAGAAGUAACUCUCUUCAAAACCUGUGGACCUAUACCUGCUGUAACAGCGCCGUUCUUUCGGCGGGCUACCGCGGCUUACGGGCCGCCCUUUGGGCGUCUCGGCGCCUAGCUGCCCGCCGGAGGCGGCGCAACUAAACCCUUGCUGUAUUCUAAGGCCUCUGUGAUUACGAAACAAAUAAGUCAAAACUUUCAACAAUGGAUCUCUUGGUUCUGGCAUCGAUGAAGAACGCAGC